UUGGGGUGUGACUGCGUACCUUUUGUAUAAUGGGUCAGCGACUUAUAUUCUGUAGCAAGGUUAACCGUAUAGGGGAGCCGUAGGGAAACCGAGUCUUAACCGGGCGUUAAGUUGCAGGGUAUAGACCCGAAACCCGGUGAUCUAGCCAUGGGCAGGUUGAAGGUUGGGUAACACUAACUGGAGGACCGAACCGACUAAUGUUGAAAAAUUAGCGGAUGACCUGUGGCUGGGGGUGAAAGGCCAAUCAAACCGGGAGAUAGCUGGUUCUCCCCGAAAGCUAUUUAGGUAGCGCCUCGUGAAUUCAUCUCCGGGGGUAGAGCACUGUUUCGGCUAGGGGGCCAUCCCGGCUUACCAACCCGAUGCAAACUGCGAAUACCGGAGAAUGUUAUCACGGGAGACACACGGCGGGUGCUAACGUCCGUCGUGAAGAGGGAAACAACCCAGACCGCCAGCUAAGGUCCCAAAGUCAUGGUUAAGUGGGAAACGAUGUGGGAAGGCCCAGACAGCCAGGAUGUUGGCUUAGAAGCAGCCAUCAUUUAAAGAAAGCGUAAUAGCUCACUGGUCGAGUCGGCCUGCGCGGAAGAUGUAACGGGGCUAAACCAUGCACCGAAGCUGCGGCAGCGACACUAUGUGUUGUUGGGUAGGGGAGCGUUCUGUAAGCCUGUGAAGGUGUGUCGUGAGGCAUGCUGGAGGUAUCAGAAGUGCGAAUGCUGACAUAAGU
This 721-nucleotide ribosomal RNA is filed under the name Salmonella enterica. RNAcentral's name for it is "partial 23S ribosomal RNA". It matches the Rfam family "Bacterial large subunit ribosomal RNA", at positions 586 to 1307 of the family's 2925-position model. The record is from RNAcentral. Lineage: Bacteria; Pseudomonadati; Pseudomonadota; Gammaproteobacteria; Enterobacterales; Enterobacteriaceae.